RNAcentral lists this small nucleolar RNA (120 nucleotides) under Lepisosteus oculatus (spotted gar). RNAcentral's name for it is "Small nucleolar RNA SNORA32 (ENSLOCG00000019407.1)". The record is from RNAcentral. Lineage: Eukaryota; Metazoa; Chordata; Actinopteri; Semionotiformes; Lepisosteidae.
UGGUCAUAUACCAAGGCUGCUGGGAUGUGUGGUUCCUGGUCUGCUGUGGACAUGACCAGAAAGUAAAUUGCCAGCUGGGUCAUUCUGAUGCAAUAUUGGUUUGAUCCACUGGGAACACUC